RNAcentral lists this ribosomal RNA (501 nucleotides) under uncultured bacterium. RNAcentral describes it as "partial 16S ribosomal RNA". It matches the Rfam family "Bacterial small subunit ribosomal RNA", at positions 30 to 523 of the family's 1533-position model. The record is from RNAcentral.
AUUGAACGCUGGCGGCAGGCUUAACACAUGCAAGUCGAGCGGGGGAAGGUAGCUUGCUACUGGACCUAGCGGCGGACGGGUGAGUAAUGCUUAGGAAUCUGCCUAUUAGUGGGGGACAACAUCUCGAAAGGGAUGCUAAUACCGCAUACGUCCUACGGGAGAAAGCAGGGGAUCUUCGGACCUUGCGCUAAUAGAUGAGCCUAAGUCGGAUUAGCUAGUUGGUGGGGUAAAGGCCUACCAAGGCGACGAUCUGUAGCGGGUCUGAGAGGAUGAUCCGCCACACUGGGACUGAGACACGGCCCAGACUCCUACGGGAGGCAGCAGUGGGGAAUAUUGGACAAUGGGGGGAACCCUGAUCCAGCCAUGCCGCGUGUGUGAAGAAGGCCUUAUGGUUGUAAAGCACUUUAAGCGAGGAGGAGGCUACUCUAGUUAAUACCUAGGGAUAGUGGACGUUACUCGCAGAAUAAGCACCGGCUAACUCUGUGCCAGCAGCCGCGGUAA